This 8760-nucleotide long non-coding RNA is filed under the name Homo sapiens (human). Its description in RNAcentral is "HSALNT0316031". Lineage: Eukaryota; Metazoa; Chordata; Mammalia; Primates; Hominidae. The record is from RNAcentral.
AGAGCUGGUUGUUUAAAAGAAUCUGGGAUCCCUCCCUUCUCUCUCUUGCUCCUUCUCUCACCAUGUGAUAUGCUUGCUCCCUUUGGCCUUCUGCAGUGAUUGUAAGCUUCCUGAGGCUUUCACCAGAAACACACGCUGGCACCACGCUUCUUGUAUCGCCUGCAGAGCUGUGAGCCAAAAUAAACCUCUUCUUUAUAAAUUACCCAGCCUCAGGUAUUCCUUUACAGCAACAUAAAAUGGACUAAUAUGUCUGCUAAUUUUUAAAUGUUGGCAUAAUUUAUACGAACCAAACAAAGCAUUCUUUGGGCUGAUUUGGCACACAGGCUGAUAGUUUGCAAACUGUUCUGUACUACGGCUGCUGUCUGUAUUAUCAAGUCCAGAGGGUAAACUUCAGUGACAGGCUAUGGCCAGAAAGGGGCGACAGAGGGUCACAGAACCAAACCAGGCCUAUUAGAUUCAUACUCCCAGCUGCCACUGGGAAAACCUGUCCUGGGUAUGGGGCGCUCCCAAUUAAAUCAAGCCAAAUCAAUAAGUUGGAGGUUGCUGGAUACGAGGCAACAAGUAGAGAGAAAUUAGGGUGAGGGGGAGAUGCCAAGGAAACCAGGUUGUUUCAGAGGACACUGGUGAGCUAAGGGGCCCAAAGAAAACUGUUUUUUCAAAGACGAUCAGAUAUCAAAUAAUAUUCACAAAGGGAGAAAUGAUGAAGUUUCAGGAACAGCACUGAGAAUGAAUGAGCUCUUACAAUGUUUAUGCAAAAGUCAAAAUCUUCAAGCCACCUAUCUUGGCUUCUUAAAAUCACCAGAAUGGGCCCCAGAAAAAAAGGGCCUAAUAGAACAUGUGCCUCUGUGAAUAAUUUAACUAGUGUCACAGCAAGUACAUAUUUUGCUAGCUGAUAAAUUAAUAAAGGAACAAACAAGUUUUGUAGUUUAAGAGUUGGUAUAAAUUAUUGUGCAGAAAUGGCAACUGAAAUGUACAAGAGUCUUCUAUAGUAAUCCAUACUUACUUUACUGUUAUCCCUUAGAUGUUUAAACAUGAAGAUAAAAAUCAAAGCUCUCAGUUUUAUGUUAAUGUUUUUCAAUACUCUCACCUUUAGCUGCAGAAAUAUGGCAUACAUGAAAGAAAAAUGGGGCAAAACCUACUAUGCCACCUUCAGAACCAACCCAUUACAUGUGAAGAACAUUCUUUCAAUAACUUGAGAACCUUCUUGAACCCCAAGUUUCGCUGCCUUGACACUUUGAGAAGGCUGGAGAUGAUUGCUAGCCCAGAGAACAAUGCUCAAAAGUAGGUUCAGCAUGAGGUCAUCAGGAGGAUGUGUUGGGCUGGGUAACUGUAUUUAACUUAGAAGAUGAGCAAGGGCAAGAACACCACCAUGACCACCUCCAAGGUAGAGAAAAAUAACUUUGUUUCCUGAAAUAAUCUGUUAUUUAAAGAGCGAAUGAGAACUGGGUGUCUGGAUUGGGAGGCAAGGCCUGGCCAAUAAAAGCAGUAAACAGAAAUUGUUACUCUGUCUAGAAAAUAGCACCUAGAUUUUAAACCAAACUACUUUGCAAAGCCUGAACUAUACAGGGAGGAAGGAAACAAAAUCAGAUUCCCUAUGGCCCUCCUUCAGCCAGCUUUAGUUCUCUUUCACAGUUCCAGCAUAAUAUGGUUUUAAGAGUGAAUAGUAUUCAACACAUGCUUUGCAUAAGGACUCAUGCUUUCUUUACCAUAAUCCUGGCAGACUUUAGGGUCUACAUGUUUCAAAAUGGAAAAUGUAGCUCAGUGAAGUUGUCAUUUGCUCAUGGUCACUGAAUUGGUAAGCAGAAAUGGCAGAGCUGAAACCCAGUAAUUCUUUAGAUUCUUAGUGUAAUGAUAUUUUAACUGCACUUACAUUUUUUAUGCUGUGUAUGUAUAUAUUCUUUCAUGUUCUCCCAACUGUUUGUUAUGUUCUUUAUCCUGAUCAGUCUGAUUUCUCUGAUCCUGCUGUCAUGGGGUAAUUGCUCCUCUCUCAGUCGAAGACACCUAAUGAUGCAUCAUUUGCUGAUCAUGAUAUUGCAGGCCAAGGUUACGAUCAACUACUAAGGGGACUUGCUGGCUUGCUUCCCAUAAAGUACAGGGCAGUGUGAACCCUGAGGAUCUGAGACAGGUCUCAGUUAAUUUAGAAACUUUAUUUUGCCAAGGUUGAGGAUGUGUGCCCGUGACUCAGCAUCAGGAGAUCCUGAUGACUGACAUAUGCCCACGGUGGUCAGAGCACAGUUUGGUUUUAUACAUUUUAGGGAGACAUGAGACAUUAAUCAUCAUAUGUAAGAUGAACAUUAGUUCAGUCCAGAAAGGCAGGACAACUCCAAGCCAAGGUGGAACAACUAAAAGUGGGGAGGGGGCUUCCAGGUCAUACAUAGGUAAGAGACAAAUAGUUGCAUUCUUUUGAGUUUCUGAUUAGCCUCUCCAAAGAGGCAAUUAGCUAUGCAUUUAUCUCAGUUAGCAGAGGUGUGACUCUGAAUAGAUCAGGAGGCAGGUUUACCCUAAGCAGUUCCCAGCUUGACUUUCCCUUUAGCUUAGUGAUUUUGGGGCCCCAAGAUUUAUUUUCCUUUCACAAAAAAUAGGAAUAACAACACAAACAAAUCCUCAAAAUGAAGAAAGUAAAUUGUGAUACUGUCACAACAAUAGAACUGGAGAAAAGCUGGGGGAGUCUAGCACUGAAGACCAGAAGAGAUAAAAGCUGGAGUGUUCAAAUUUGAAAGAAAUCAGUGAAUUUCAGAGAAAGGGAAACCGACAUGCACAUGAUAAAAAUUAAUUUCCAUUUCUUGUUUUAUAUGUCCCUAAAGUAGCAUCAGGGAGGAGAAGCAAUUUGGCAAAUGUAUCUUUUGUGUUUAAACAUCAAUUUGAUUUGUUAUAGAUACUUGUCUUUCAAAUAUUACAUUUUCCAUAACUAGAAAAGACUAGAAAAAUAAACUUUCUAAACUGUUUAUAAGCUAAAUUUUAUUUUGACUUUUAAAACAGAAAAUUUCAGUAAGAGUAAAGAUCCAUAAUAAAAGGAAAAAAUAGACACUGUUCUUAAUCUUUCAUUAACUAAGACCAGGAUCUUUCAUAAACAUAAUUAACUAGAAUUGGCAUAUGAUAGAUCCAAAUGUAAAUGAUCUUCAGUAAAAAGGAGCAAGUAACCAAGAGAAAUGUGACUUAGAACAUACACCUACACAUAUAAACACACACAUAUAGUAUUAAUAUAGCAGGCUAAAAAUAGGAGAAGACACUUGCUUUUUGGAAGCUUGGGAAGUGAAAAGUUCCUUUCACCUUUCACCUGCAGCCUCAUCUCCCACAUGAUAGCCACUAUGGAUCACGAUCCAUUGUCUGGUGCCCAAAAGCUAAAAGCCAACUAAUUACUGCUGAUGGUUGAAGAAUUCUAUUUGGGCAAAGGAAAGUAGUUGGAUUGAGAUCAUUAUCCAGUAGCUCACAACUCUUUAAACUGCUGGUCAACCUGCAUGUCUUUGAAACUAAACAUCUAAAGCCUUUUAUAAUUGCAGAGAAAGUUUUGGUAUAAAAUUCAGCUCCUGCUAUGUAGGCAGAUUAGUUCACUUCUGCAUACAUGCUAAGUGCCCAUCCUUCCAAUCUUCUUCCUCCAGCCCAUCUCUUUCUAAUACCCAUUGACACUGUAAAUUCCAUUCCUGCUGGAGACAGCUGUGGCUAUAAAACUUGACUCAUGAAAAUAUUAGUGAACAUUUCUAUUUUAUCUCUGUGCUUUUCUUCCAGUUUCUUUAUGCAAACCAAGAACUGGCUGCUUCCUGCCUUUAAAAAGGGAAACCAAAGAAUCUCCCCAUUUACCUCUCUUAUGGCCCUUGUGAAAUAUCUGUCACUUGGGAAAGUAAACACAUUUACAAAAUUUAUCAUAGGAAAUCGAACCAUUUGCUGAAUCCCAAAAUAUAAGAUAUGCCUAAAUAUUUAAUAGUGAAUUAUCUAGGCUUAGAAGUUAACUGGUUAGGGAAUGGACUUUUUAGGAUCUCUACUCAGCAAUUUGAAUUUUUCCCCAAAGUCACUAAUUUAAUUAUUGAAACAUACUCAUCUUCAUUGUGUAUAACUCUUGUAGUGAAUUGCUCAUGUCUUUUCUAAAAACUGGAAAUAAUGUUGCUUCUUCCUCUGGCAACUUUUUAAAAAUUAUUUUUCUGUUUCCUGCCUCAGGCUUCAUUCCUUAUACCCAUUACAUCUAUUUAUAUCCCCAGUAACUUCCUUUUCAAAGUCCCCUCAUGUUGACAGCUAUUUCCAUACUUUUAAAAAUACAUUCUUCAAGUUACCAAGUCUCCUUAUUGUGAGCCUAAUGGCCUUUUCUUCACUGUAAUUUACUUUGAAUCACGCCAGGUGAAAAAGAAGGCUUCUGAGUUGAUGCCAGAUUCUUCACAUGAUACAAAUGCUGUCUCUUUGUCUGUAUGUUUUCAUUCCGCCAAGCCCAUUUUUUUCUUGGUUUCCAGACUAAUUGUCCUUAAAAGGCAUUUGCAUCUUAUUAUUCUCUUGCUCUGUCGAUAGCUCUCCCUCUAUUAUUGCAUCAAAUCUAAACUCCUUUGCUUGCCUUGCAUGGUACUCCAACAGUUUGUGCACAAAGUUACUUGUUGAUUGCCAAAUUUAAGCAAGAUUAACCUGGCAGCUUGCGUGCUGCAGCCAUUUCUCAUGAAGAAUGAGAAUAUAUAAAAUAUUAAAAGAGAUGAAAAAUGCCUUAUUAUAUUUCAGUUGUGUUCAUUUUUAAACUCAAAUUUCAGGUUAUCAUACAUUAGAAUUUCAGUCCUGAUAAAAUACAUUACUUAAAGGGGGAGAAAAGGCUUAUGGUAGCUGAAAAGUUCAUCGCCUCAUUUUGCUAAGUUAUUUAUUAUAGGUUUCCCCAGUUGCCUUAUUUUUAGAAAAGAUUUGUUGGCUAAGAGUGAUCAGAUGCAAAGCUCAAAACUACGUAUACAUAAGUUAUAUGUUAUCACAUAUAACAUAGGGAAAUGGUUACCAUUAUGAACUCAAUUUAUUUGUUAAUAUUUCAUUAAUUUCACGUUAGUAUUUCUUCCUCAAAGCCUAACCCACAGAGAAUUUCAUUACCACUACCAUUCAGAUAUCAAAUCUCUUUCUAAAACAAAGUAAAGAAAAAUCUUUUAUAAAAAUGGAUCUUUAGUUUUAUAGACAAAAGAAACUGUGAAAAAGAAGAUUAAAUCUUCAUCAGUUUAACUCACAAAGCAAACGCAUAGGGAAAUAGCAUUAUUCAACAUUUAAAUUGUUUUAAAUCAGUCUUGGGAGUUUUUUAGUCUAUCCAAGGUAAAGGAAUUCUAUACCCAGUUAUGCUAAAUUCCUAAAUAGUAGAUUCAAGUAAAUCCUCCAUUGAAAGAAAUAAAUCACUUCUGUGCUGAGGAAGCUCUAUUAAGAUACAAUCUGAAAGAUCUAUCGAGACCUGAAGUGAAAUACAUACAUUUUUAAAAGGAUAAACAUAGGGGGAAAUGUCUCUAAUGCUUUGUAGUGAAUAUAUCCACCCAAAUGUUCCAGAGCUCCCUGAUUUAUUCUCAAGUAACAACCUUGGCUCUUUAAACAUUGUUUAUGAUGGUCAAAUGAGAACAUAUACAGAGUUUCAAUACAAGCUAUCUGCCUAGUAGACUUCCUUUUGAGAGUAAAACACUCUUAAAGCAUCAUUUACUUUCACAAACAGCAUAUGCACACCAUGUGGCACCCAUUCUUGUUAACACCAAAGUAGCAGUUUGAGCUUAACAGCUUGGGAGCUCUGUUUAUAAUAAUAGUAAUACUCGGUGUCAAGUCCUCAGAGUUUCAGAUGUCAAAGGUGAUCAUGAACAUAAAUGCAAAUUCCCCAAAUCUGCUCUCCUGGGAAAACGAUUCUUGCCAAGGCCAAAGAAGUCAGUAGACAUACAAAUACUUGGUCUCCAGCUUCUAAUAAGCCCAGGAAUUGUCUUUCCAAUUUCACUGCAUCACCUUCAUCUGGUUCUAAUGUAUACACAUGUCUAGUGAAUUAGUUCCCCUUGGGGGAAAAUUUUGUUGUCUCAAGAGCUUGAGAUUUUCAAUGAAGUGCCAAUGAUCUGAUACAAAUUGUUGAAUUUUUUAUUAUAACUGUUCCCUUCUUUUUAUACGAGCCUGUUUACUUUUUGAGCACCCUGAAACCUUCUAGCAUUUCAGAAUAAUGUUUAAAACAUUGCAUUAUUAAGAAACUUUAAAAUUACAGCUGUGAAAACAGACCUAUGUCAUUAUAAUCAGUGAGAAAGUCCCUUAACUGGGAUUUCAGAAUAUAAAAGGAGCACCUGCAGAGAAUUGGCAGGGUGAGAACCAAAGAGAAAAGAGAGAAAGAAACAGGAAAAAAAAUUCAUCAAGCAAAGAGAAUGGGGUGUUUCUAUUCUUGACAAUCCAUUUGAAAAAAUGAAAGUGAGUCAGUAUUUGAGAAGAAAACUUAUUUUAUGGGGGAGGGAGGGUAUAGUUACUUACUGCAUUAGCUUACACAAUCAUUUACUAUAUCUAUUAAAUCACUUAUACUUUUCCAUUUUAAAUAGCUAUUAAUCUAUCUGUUUUACCUAUAGACUGUGAGCUCUUCUAGUGUCACAGCGUGUGUGCAUCUGACAAACCAGCACCUAGUAUAUAGUAGAUAUUCAGUAUUUGUAGUUGAAUAAAUGAUAGAGACUAGAAAUAAUAUGGAAAACAUAUUUUUAUCAGACUAAGAUACAGAAGUAGGAAAAUGUUCAGCGAAGGAAAAAUAUUCUUCCAUAUAAGCAUUGCAUUAAUGGAAAAAAGUGUUCAAUAUGCAUUUACAUGCUCUGCUAAAACAACCACAAAGAAUUAGCAAAUUCUGUAACACUCAUUUGGGGAACCCUCAUGUCUCAGGAUAGCCUGUGUGUGUCCCACAGUGUGCAGUUUUUCACUGGUCAUUGAAUUCCCUGGGUUUUAGGAGUAAAGGAGGCAGAUAAUAGUAUUACUGUUUCUGUGAUUUGGUUUUGUAGAAUGUUGUCCUGAUAAGUGAGGAAGAUGAGACAGGCAAAAGUCCUCCUGAAAGCAUAGUUCAGAUAAGUCCAACUUAUCAGGAGAGAGAUUUCAAAAAGGAGUUGUUGGACUGACGGACAGAGCAAGUAGUGUCCAAUUUCAGUUGAGGCCCAAGCAUGACCUCUUAUGUCUCUUUGCCUGUCCUGGUUUGUCAAACUUCCCAGUCCUCUCAGAGUUGAUAAGGCAUCUUCUUCGGUUUCCUCGAGGUGUAUAAACGAUGGCUGCUCCUCUUACAUUCUUCCAUGUCUUCCACCAUGAAAAACAUGACCUCUUUUUAGUUUGUUCCCAUUAUAACAUGGUCAUUUAUUUUCUUUUCCUUUCCUUUUAAUCCAAACUUUUUUGGCUUAAACUUCUCUACUUGCCCAUCAACAUUUUACUUUUCUACCCACUGGGCUCUGGCUUCCAAUGACCUCCUAAUUGCCAGAUCUAUGGACACUUUUAGUACUCAUUGUAAUGAUGUCUCUGUUGCAUUUGAUACUGUUGAUUCCUGCUUCAAUCAUUAUACAAAAACGCUGACAAUAACAGGCUAAUUAUGAGCAUUCAUAUAAGUGCUUAGGAGAACUUUUUAAAAAUAGUAUGGGUUCUACAAAAUGUUCAAUAUUAUUAUUAUUUUAUUCAGUUAUCUUUGGUAUUCCUUUGUGUCCAUCCUUUUGAUUGCAGGUGUCCCUCAUCUAGUGUCCUCAUCACCCACACACUCUUGCUGGAUAAUUUUAUCAGUCUUUUGAUUUCAAGAACUAUUGUGUUAUUACUACCAUAUAUAUAUAUAUCUUUAGCCCAGUGCUCUGCUAAUCUUUAUAUUUAUAUAUCUAACUUCCUGCUGUAAAUCCCCAUCUCGACUGGCAAAUGUCUCCUGGGGGUACAGUCGUUCCUUGUUGGAAACCACUAGUUAACUCAUACUUGGUUAUUUGUAUCUUUCCUCAGGUGACUAUAGACGUCCUGUGAGCCAACACAAUGUCUUCUUCAUUCCUAUGUUCCUCAGACACAGCACAGAGCCACACGAACGGAAGCAUAAAAACAACUUACAAUUCUCAAUUUAGAAGAUCUUACUUUAAUGGGAGCUCAUAUUUAUACUCCUCCCAAGACACACACACAAUAGUCUCUGUACAUACCGUUAAAUUUAGUCCUUUUUUCUUUUUCAAAAAGGAAGCAUCUGGAAUGCUUCAAUAACGAAAAAAGUACAUGAUAUGUUAAAUAUGCAGUGCCAAAGAAACACUCGGGAGAAAGUCCAGCAUGCAAUUGGAAAUUCAAGGCUGCUCAUCAGUGGAGUAGCAAGUCUGAAAACAUUUGUCAACUCUGCUUGAUCUUUCCACAUACCUCAUCGGCUGGCCCCUUGGGCCCAGAUUUCAACUGAUACUUCUGGCAGAAAAUGCUUGUACCAGUCUACGCCUAACAAUAAAGAACCCAGUUCCCAACUUCGACAUUUGGCUGGUGCUCCGGUGACGCCUGUCCCAAAAGAGAAAAGCCAAAGAAGUAAAUCUGAGUUACCUGAACAGAAAUUAAAAUUUCCCACAUAAAUAAAUCUCAUGAUUUCCAAUUUUCUCUCUUGACUUUAAUUUCUGUGGCUCACUGGCAUUGAGUCUUUUUUUUUUUCUUUACUAUCUGCAUCCUGAGUAUUUCCCAUAUGAUUUGUAAAUGGCUCUAGUAACCUCUAAGUAAACAAAGUGUUCAUUCAUUCAGCCAUUCUUUCACUCAUUUAUUCACUCAUCAAAAAUUAUGAAGUGCCUUGUAUGUGCUAAACAUUGUGUUAGGUGCCAGAAGAUAUAUAGAUAAAUAGAAUAUAUCCUU